Molecule: ribosomal RNA, 245 nt
Filed under: uncultured Actinomycetales bacterium
Lineage: Bacteria; Bacillati; Actinomycetota; Actinomycetes; Actinomycetales
Description: partial 16S ribosomal RNA
Rfam family: Bacterial small subunit ribosomal RNA
Source: RNAcentral
GCUCGAGUGGCGAACGGGUGAGUAACACGUGAGUUAACCUGCCCUUGACUUUGGGAUAACUUCAGGAAACUGGGGCUAAUACCGGAUAGGAGCUCCUGCUGCAUGGUGGGGGUUGGAAAGUUUCGGCGGUUGGGGAUGGACUCGCGGCUUAUCAGCUUGUUGGUGGGGUAGUGGCUUACCAAGGCUUUGACGGGUAGCCGGCCUGAGAGGGUGACCGGCCACAUUGGGACUGAGAUACGGCCCAG